CUGGUAGGCGGCUCAGCAAGUCGGCCGUGAAAACCCGGGGCUCAACCCCGGGACGCCGGUCGAAACUGCUGUGGCUAGGGUCCGGUAGAGGAGAGUGGAAUUCCCGGUGUAGCGGUGAAAUGCGCAGAUAUCGGGAGGAACACCAGUAGCGAAGGCGGCUCUCUGGGCCGGUACCGACGCUGAGGAGCGAAAGCUAGGGGAGCAAACAGGAUUAGAUACCCUGGUAGUCC
This 230-nucleotide ribosomal RNA is filed under the name uncultured bacterium. RNAcentral describes it as "partial 16S ribosomal RNA". It matches the Rfam family "Bacterial small subunit ribosomal RNA", at positions 568 to 796 of the family's 1533-position model. The record is from RNAcentral.